ACGCUCGACACCUACAGGAGGCAGCAGUGGGGAAUAUUGCACAAUGGGGGAAACCCUGAUGCAGCGACGCCGCGUGAGCGAAGAAGUAUUUCGGUAUGUAAAGCUCUAUCAGCAGGGAAGAAGAAAGACGGUACCUGACUAAGAAGCCCCGGCUAACUACGUGCCACAGCCGCGGUAAUCUGAGCGGGCUGGCAAGGC
Molecule: ribosomal RNA, 198 nt
Filed under: uncultured bacterium
Lineage: Bacteria
Description: partial 16S ribosomal RNA
Rfam family: Bacterial small subunit ribosomal RNA
Source: RNAcentral